Amborella trichopoda is the source of this 2739-nucleotide non-coding RNA. Lineage: Eukaryota; Viridiplantae; Streptophyta; Magnoliopsida; Amborellales; Amborellaceae. The record is from RefSeq and is a predicted model, not a curated record.
AACUUUGUAUACUGUUUGUUUGUCUUUGCUGGUUGCAUUAUAGAUAUUUGUUGUUUGUUUUGUUAAACAAGAUGGUUUCUCAGGCAGUUAACCUUUUCUCAAAAAAAACAAGAUGGUUUCUCAAUUACCUCUAUUGUUAAAUCAAUGUAAUUUUUUGCAGGUGGUAGAGAUGGGGUUUACGCUAGUAGUAUUGGCUCAUAUUUGGGACAAUUCGAUGCCGGAUGAAAAGACCAAUAUGUUAUGCCAAGAGUGGAGGUCUUGCUGUUCAACCAUUGCGUGCAUGUUUUCAGCUCUGCUGCAGGAAGCUUGGUUGCUUGCUGUACAGGAACAUGCCCAGUUUAGUAUUUCACCCCCAUCAUGAUGCAUGGAGGGCAUGACCAUCUUUGAUGCCAUAAAAGAAGUUGUUCAUUUGCAUAGAGGGUGUGGAGUAAAGGGAGUUGCCAGCCCCAUUUGCACGUCCUAUUUCUAAGCGUUCAAUAAUCGAAGGCAUCGAUGCAUUUAUCAGCGAGGCUAUGGAAGGAUACCAUGCUGUAACAUGGAGAGCUUGCUUCUGUGCACAUGUUUUGCUCCAUUUGCCAAGGUUCUCAUUUGAAACUAAAGGUACUAAGCAGGCAGUAGCAAUUGUUUUUUGUAAAGCUUCAUUUUCACGUUCUCUUGACAUUCGAAGCAAGCCAGUGGCUUUGAGGAAACCCUUUUUGCUGGUUAUUGCAGCUCGUUAUAUAUGUUGCCCUGGUUAUAUAAAAACGGUUUUGGAGAAGGAUGAGGAUGAAGGUCUCACUGUGUGGGUGUAUGGAGUCAGGAGUAGUGUAUAUUUUUGCUCAUUUGUUCCAGCCCGGUCUUUCAUUUGGCUCCGAGAUAAAGUUGGCUACAAUCACAUUGACAAAGUUGGUGAAACGUUUUGUGGGAUUGGCAUCUAGCUGGACUCUAAAAGCUGCACAAGUGCGUGAAUUUUCAUUCUAGAGCAAUCUUUUCAGGAGAGAUGCAUCUAUGUAGUGGAAGACCCUAAACAGCCUCACUAUUCUUCAAGCUACUAUCAAACCAUUCCAAGUCAAUUAUGUCACUUUUUCUGUUCUGUGAUAUGACUUAAUAUUUCUAACGGGCAAUUUCAAUAUUGAUUGUGACAUUGACCAGAUUGAUUUUAAGUUAAUUAAACCCUGGUAAUGCACAUUCAAUUAUAUUGUUUUAUAGCAUGUUAAUCAUAUUUUUCUCUCGAACUCUAACUUACGUGGGGAACAAAAUGUCUUCUGAAUUAGGGAACAGGAGGAAGGGACUGUGGUCAAGAAUAAAGAGGAGGGUAGGUAGUGAUAGUGGAGUUGACCGCAUGGUUGCUUGAUAAAUUUCAAGCCUAGUCAUGGAGCGAGGUAUUGCUUGCUUGGAUCACCAUGAUUUGACAUUCAUUUGGUGAGGUCUAAAAUGCAUGGACGGGCGGUCUGUGGGAAUAGAGAGAUGCUUUUUUCUUUUUGGUGGAGGAGAAGGAAUGGACAGUGACGCUGCAGGGGUAGCGAACCAAAAGGCUAGGUUGUGGAUGGUAAGGUUGGGGAAUGCUGCAGGUUGGGUGGGAGGAAAGGUUAGGUUGUGGUUGGGGAGCUUUUGAAACGCUUGCAAUGGCCUUAUUAAUCAUUUGAUAAAAAAUGAAUGACAAAAACCAAUGCAAUUAUUAAUUUGUAUGUUAUUUAUCAAAAUCCUCAUAUGCAUAUUUUGAUAGAACCAAAUGAGUUGGUCAAUCAUGAUAUCUAGCUGCUGUCAACAAACAUAUAUGUUGGUAACAAAUAUUCACCAAUAUGUAUCAAUGUAUACUUGGAGAUUUGGCAGCUUUGGCAAAACUUAAGGCUAUUUGGUUCUCUUUUCCAACCUGAGCUUGUUUUUCAAUAAUGCUUUUUGUCUUUUGUGAUUCUAGUUUUAUCUUUGGCCUCUAGGAUGGUGUUAUAACUGACUUAUAAGAAAAUAUACAUUGUUUACAAUCUUGUUUGCUCCAUUGUUUUGUGUAAGCAAUUAACCGUAGUGGAGCUAGACUUGGACAUUGUUUACAAUCUUGUUUGCUCUACAAUUUUUUUUUUUUUAAAGUAUAACACUUCUGGUUGUUUUGUUGAUUUAUCAUAUCAGAAUUUGAUGUGGUUUUUAGAUUUGUUUUUGAAUCCUUCUAUUGAUUUGGUAAUUUAACAUCGGGUUUUGGAGGGGGUGUUUAAAAUUGUUUUUGUAGGCUCUUAGUAGAAUUCCAACAGUUCCAUGGCAGCUUCUAUCCAAAUUAUAUAUGAAAGAAUAAUAAGGAAAACAUGGCUACCCACACUGUAACAAGUGUCCGCUUUAGAUAUGUUCCUAAAAUGUUGGACAGUCUACGUUUGUUUUUUUAAAAAAGUAUUCCAAUGUUGGACAGUCUAUGUUUGUUUUUUAACAUCGGGUUUUGGAGGGGGUGUUUAAAAUUGUUUUUGUACGGUCUUAGUAGAUUUCCAACAGUUCCAUGACAGCUUCCAUUCCAAAUUAUAUAGAAUAAUAAGAAAAACAUGGCUACCCACACUGUAACAAGUGUCCGCUUCAGAUCUGUUCCUAAAAUGUUGGACAGUCUAUGUUUGUUUUUUUUUAAAGUAUUCCAAAUGUAUAUAAAUAUAAAAACAAUACUUUGAAAGCAUGGGAUUUGAAAUAAUGGGGGCAAAAAUGUGAAAAGAAAAGAUUGAAACCUGGGAUAUUUGAUAUAAGAUAAAAGAUAAAUGAAACUAGGACUUAGGAUAUCGCAUUGCUACC